Long non-coding RNA from Harpegnathos saltator (Jerdon's jumping ant), 403 nucleotides. RefSeq lists it as uncharacterized. The transcript has 2 exons. The record is from RefSeq and is a predicted model, not a curated record. Lineage: Eukaryota; Metazoa; Arthropoda; Insecta; Hymenoptera; Formicidae.
ACGGGGCCACCCUUGUGCGCCCUUGUGCGCCUAGGACCGUUGGAAGGUACCAGCGGCUCCGUUAGAAGCACCUUUCCCGUGCUUCUCUCUCGCCGCGCGAUUGUUUCGCGAUUAUUUCGCGAUUGCUCGAUCGAGUCGGCGAGUCUCGUCCAACUAUGCGCAGGAGAUACGCGUGUGAGCUGUUGCUUUAACCGACGACCUUUAAACGGGCUUCCUCAACGGGGCCGGUUGUUCCAACUCCUUGCGUGGACCUAUGAAGCGGACGAAACUAUGAAACUUGAAAAGUUCAAAAUAUUUGUUCUGACGUACUAUUACUGUCGAAUAUCCGUUGUUGCUCGUUGAAAUGCGACACAGUCGGUCAAUGAAAUUAUAUAGAUCAGAAAUAAAUAUUGCAUAAAAUAUA